GAUCAUGGCUCAGGACGAACGCUGGCGGCGCGCCUAACACAUGCAAGUCGAACGAGAGAGAAGGAGCUUGCUUCUUCGAUCGAGUGGCGAACGGGUGAGUAACGCGUGAGGAACCUGCCUCAAAGAGGGGGACAACAGUUGGAAACGACUGCUAAUACCGCAUAAGCCCACGGGUCGGCAUCGACCUGAGGGAAAAGGAGCAAUCCGCUUUGAGAUGGCCUCGCGUCCGAUUAGCUUAGG
Molecule: ribosomal RNA, 240 nt
Filed under: uncultured bacterium
Lineage: Bacteria
Description: partial 16S ribosomal RNA
Rfam family: Bacterial small subunit ribosomal RNA
Source: RNAcentral